GACGAAGGGGGCUAGCGUUGUUCGGAAUUACUGGGCGUAAAGCGCACGUAGGCGGCUUUGUAAGUUAGAGGUGAAAGCCCGGGGCUCAACCCCGGAAUUGCCUUUAAGACUGCAUCGCUAGAAUUGUGGAGAGGUGAGUGGAAUUCCGAGUGUAGAGGUGAAAUUCGUAGAUAUUCGGAAGAACACCAGUGGCGAAGGCGACUCACUGGACACAUAUUGACGCUGAGGUGCGAAAGCGUGGGGAGCAAACAGG
This 253-nucleotide ribosomal RNA is filed under the name uncultured bacterium. Its description in RNAcentral is "partial 16S ribosomal RNA". It matches the Rfam family "Bacterial small subunit ribosomal RNA", at positions 524 to 776 of the family's 1533-position model. The record is from RNAcentral.